AUGCCCUUCUCGUCUGAAGAGAUCCGCACGGCCAUAGCCAAUCUCCCCGCGGACCGCGCGCCGGGACCGGAUGGUUUCUGUGGCUCCUUCUACAAGGCUUCGGCUAGCACCAUCGUGCCCGAUCUCCUGCUGGCCUUUCAACAGCUGUUCCAGCGGAAUCGUUCGGGCCUGCACCUCCUCAACGUUGGGCAUAUUUUCUUGUUGCCCAAGCAUGAUGGCGCCAGCGCGAUGACGGAUUUCAGGCCCAUUUGCCUGCUGCACAGUGUGGGAAAGCUGUUCAUGAAGGUUUUGGCUAUGCGGCUGGCCAGAAAGCUAGAUGAGCUGAUCUCGCCCUCCCAAAGUGCCUUCCUCAAAGGGCGUUGCAUCCAAGAUAACUUUUUGUUCGUGCAAGGGCUGGCUAGACACUUCCACCGUGCUAAGAGAGCCGCGGUCCUGCUUAAGCUCGAUAUCACCAAGGCCUUUGACUCGGUGUCCUUGCCUUAUCUGCUAGAUAUGUUGCGCGCGAGGGGUUUUGGGCCGAGAUGGUGCGAUUGGAUAUCCAUGAUGCUGGCCUCUGCUUCAUCUAGGGUUAUGGUCAACGGUGUGGUGGGCGCCGCGUUCCGGCAUUUCCGACGCCUGCGGCAAGGGGACCCGCUCUCGCCGUUCCUCUUCAUCCUGGCCAUGGAACCCUUGCAGCGGCUUAUCGCCAUGGCCACAGAAUCUCGAGAGCUGUCCGCCUCAGAGGCCGGACUCCCGAGCUUCGAAUCUCUGUCUUUGCUGACGAUGUAG
RNAcentral lists this ribosomal RNA (768 nucleotides) under Triticum aestivum (bread wheat). RNAcentral describes it as "partial small subunit ribosomal RNA". Lineage: Eukaryota; Viridiplantae; Streptophyta; Magnoliopsida; Poales; Poaceae. The record is from RNAcentral.